Oncorhynchus masou masou (cherry salmon) is the source of this 933-nucleotide long non-coding RNA. RefSeq lists it as uncharacterized. The record is from RefSeq and is a predicted model, not a curated record. The transcript has 3 exons. Lineage: Eukaryota; Metazoa; Chordata; Actinopteri; Salmoniformes; Salmonidae.
GAGUUACUAGAGGUUAGUCAGUGUAUUUAUUAUAAACAGUGUGAGGGCAGACUAAGAGUUACUAGAGGUUAGUCAGUGUAUUUAUUAUAGACAGUGUGAGGGCAGACUAAGAGUUACUAGAGGUUAGUCAGUGUAUUUAUUAUAGACAGACUAAGAGUUACUAGAGGUUAGUCAGUGUAUUUAUUAUAGACAGUGUGAGGGCAGACUAAGAGUUACUAGAGGUUAGUCAGUGUAUUUAUUAUAGACAGACUAAGAGUUACUAGAGGUUAGUCAGUGUAUUUAUUAUAGACAGUGUGAGGGCAGACUAAGAGUUACUAGAGGUUAGUCAGUGUAUUUAUCAUAGACAGACUAAGAGUUACUAGAGGUUAGUCAGUGUAUUUAUUAUAGACAGUGUGAGGGCAGACUAAGAGUUACUAGAGGUUAGUCAGUGUAUUUAUUAUAGACAGUGUGAGGGCAGACUAAGAGUUACUAGAGGUUAGUCAGUGUAUUUAUUAUAGACAGACUAAGAGUUACUAGAGGUUAGUCAGUGUAUUUAUUAUAGACAGACUAAGAGUUACUAGAGGUUAGUCAGUGUAUUUAUUAUAGACAGUGUGAGGGCAGACUAAGAGUUACUAGAGGUUAGUCAGUGUAUUUAUUAUAGACAGUGUGAGGGCAGACUAAGAGUUACUAGAGGUUAGUCAGUGUAUUUAUUAUAGACAGACUAAGAGUUACUAGAGGUUAGUCAGUGUAUUUAUUAUAGACAGACUAAGAGUUACUAGAGGUUAGUCAGUGUAUUUAUUAUAGACAGUGUGAGGGCAGACUAAGAGUUACUAGAGGUUAGUCAGUGUAUUUAUUAUAGACAGUGUGAGGGCAGACUAAGAGUUACUAGAGGUUAGUCAGUGUAUUUAUUAUAGACAGACUAAGAGUUACUAGAGGUUAGUCAGUGUAUUUAUU